GGCAUGGCUCAAGUGUACAGUGUCUGCCUUAGUAAGUAGAAGGCCCUGAGUUCAAACCUCAGUACUGCCA
Molecule: transfer RNA, 70 nt
Filed under: Dipodomys ordii (Ord's kangaroo rat)
Lineage: Eukaryota; Metazoa; Chordata; Mammalia; Rodentia; Heteromyidae
Rfam family: tRNA
About the family: Transfer RNA (tRNA) molecules are approximately 80 nucleotides in length. Their secondary structure includes four short double-helical elements and three loops (D, anti-codon, and T loops).
Source: Rfam by way of RNAcentral